Long non-coding RNA from Phocoena sinus (vaquita), 4353 nucleotides. The record is from Ensembl. NCBI's taxonomy places the organism in Eukaryota, Metazoa, Chordata, Mammalia, Artiodactyla, Phocoenidae.
AGGGAUUGUUAUCCCACUAGGAAGUCAAGGAAAUCAAGGCUCAGAGAAGUUACAAGAUCUGCCCAGAGCCACAGCCGAUGGCAGAACUGAGCCCCAAGCCUGGGUGCCCCGGCUUCUGUCCCCUUCAUGACACCGCGUUUUGCCAGUGUGGCUCUGGUGUUACCUCCUGUAACUGUUUUCCCUGUUUUCAUCAGCCAAGCCUGUGCCUUUUCUGGUUGCAAGCUCUCUACGUCAUCGUAUCUUCUCCUGCUCGGUCUCCCUUUGGGAAGCUUCCUCCUGGAUCUGUAGGAUCUCCAUCAUGCCUUUUGUGCCCUUUAGCUCCUCCUUGAGGCCUGACGAUCAGAAUGCCCUAUCUUGAUCGUUGGAGUUCGUGGCAUUACAGGACCUCCAAAGUCACCUCCAGAGGAGAAGUCUGUUCGGGUUUGCCUUUCUGUUCUUCUCCCAGGUUGGCCGGUCCACUCAGGCUCUCGCUCUGGGAAUCUCCAAACCAAAGGCAGUGGUCCACUGCUUGUCUCCUUGCUUGUGGCUGAUGGCUGAAUUCAUUUUCCUGCUGCGGCCAAGACCUCAAACCGGUGCGGCUUUUCUUCUGAACUGGGGAGGUAUGAACAGGCCUGACGGGGCCAGAGUGUGGAGCCAAUGUUACUGAGUCCUUUUCCAGGCUGUUGAGGGCAUCCUGUCUUCUGCUGAGGCCCCUAACCUACCUUCAGCCAGGAGUGGAAAGUAUAUGCUACCGUCUGGCUUGUGUGGGGUUCCUUCACAGGCCAGGUGCUUCCAGGAGACAGCUCGGAUCUCAGAAGGGCUCUGUGAAGGCGGUCAGAAGUCAUCUUCUCUUUAGAGCUGAUGGGAGGCUAGCCUGGUUGUUAUGAGUUUCAAAUAGCCUGGAGUAAUACACCUAAGAGGCUGACCCCUCUGGGCCCUUUUCAGAGGCUGGACUUGACUUUGUGAGACAUGAGGUUAAGAUGUCACCAGGCCUGUGUAAUGUAGUGGUGGUGAACGUGGGCUAUGAAACAGGGCUGGGUGUGAGUUGUGGUUCAAUCACCUGCUAGUGUCAUGCUGAACAAGCUCCUUAACCUCUCGUCCUCACAUCGCUCGUCUGUUUAAAAAUAAUGGGGAUAAUGAUUCCUGCUGGAUCAUCACAGGAUGUCAAUGAGAAACGUGUCAAGGGCUUAGCAUGGGGCCCAGCAUAGGUAAAUGAUAUCUCUGUAAAAGGUGGGUAUUAUUAUUUAAUCCCGGAAAUAAUGGAUGACCAUUGAAGGUGAUAGGGUGACUAUCUCUGGCCGUUAAUUUAUCUGAAAAAGCUCAUUGGGUAGUAUGUGUCCGGCACUGUAGGCAUUGCCAUGCACUAUCUUGUUGAACAUUCACAAUCACUUUGCCAGGCUAGCAGUCUUGUCUCCAUUAUUAGAGAAGGAACAGCCUCAGAGCGGGUAAGGGGUCUGUACCAGAUCUCACCAGCCGAGGGCGCUAGCUCUUGCUUGAAAGCUCGUGCUUUGCCUUAUCUCUGGAGGCCUGUGGCCAGUUUGUUCAGACAGCUCCAGUCCGGACACCUCGGCAGCUUGUGGGUGAUCCCGCCUUCCAGGAUCUUCCAGACUGAAAUUUUCCUUCUGCCGCCUUACCCUGUGGUUGCUUCCCUACUUGUUUUUGUCUGCCGGCCUUGUAGGAGUAAGAAAUCCAUUUCAAAUAUGCUGAAAGCUGUUACCAAGCAACUGUGCUGGUUAAAAGCAACCUCGUGGGUGAGAUGACGAGUGGAGAGUUAGGGUUUUAGGUCCUGUGGUCGGUCGUGGUCUCUGUUUCCCUGCUCCCCUGCCUUCUAUCCUACCCCGUUCACUGCUGGGUGAAGGAGAGAUCCUUGCGUUUUGGAACGAAGGGAACCCUUGAGGCAGCUCUUUUGUAGACAAGGAAUGUGUUCGUGCAAGGCUGUGCUUCCAACAGCUGGGUGGGAGCGCUGGCCUGAACGCUCUUCCCUGGCCGUGUUUGCCUGUGACCGCUGUGUUGGGAGCAGCAUUGCUCUCCAGACUUGGAGAACCGGCUUCCAGUGCUCUUGGCCCUCUCUGCCUUCAUCCCACCCCUGAGAGACUGGGCGGGUCUGUUUACUAACUCGCUGCUUCCCAUCUCCUCCUGUCUUGCUGUCUAAGAGGUCUCCCCUUUUGCCCGAUGUGCUCAGGGGAACCUCUGGCUCUCCAGCCCCUCUGCGUGGCUGUGCCUGUGGCCACUGCUGCUGAGACCCGGCCGAGGUUCCUGCUCUCCCUCCCUCCCACAGACGGGCCGUCUUGUCCUUGGGAAGGACCGACCACUCUCCGCAGCUGAGCGUUCUCACCGGCUUCACUGUCUCAGUGCUUGGAGCUCCUGUGCAUCACGCCUGUGUGGUGACUGUGGGUUAUCCACCUGAGUGCUACCUUCCACCCUAAUCGGUACAUGCUCAGGGAGCAGGAAAUACAAUCAUGAAAUGCCUCUAAAUAAAAUUACUUUUGGAUACUUCUGUUCGAAAAGAUAAUUAAGAAGUGGGUCAUACCUUAAAAAAAACAAAAGGGAUGUGGGGAUACCGGUUUGGCUGCUUCUGCGUUUGAUAGCUCCACGAGAGUGACGUGUUGGAACACGUGUGAUGAGACUUGGUAGAAUGAAUUAGGGAAUGGAGCUGCAGCCCUGUGGCUGUGGAGUCCCUUUUUCUAUGGGGCCGCCUACACCAGUCUUGCCUUCUCGUCUCUUUCCUUAGAUAACUUCUGACUAGAGUCUGCUGUAGGAUUACAGAUACUUCAGAAUCCACAACCCAUCCUUCGACUUCAUUUUCAGCAAAUCAACAACGACAGAAAUCAGUGUUUAAGGUUUAUAGAGCCAUGUUGCUAGAUUACAGGCAUUGUUCUUUUGGUUUUAAAAAUCCAAGACUUUUUAAGAUAAGUUUGAAGAUGUGCCGUAGCUUCCUUGCAGAUAGCAUUUUUAAUAAAGCGAACAGACCUUCACCUGAAGUUAAAUACUGAUAUCUGUGUAGCUCUCGAUAAGAUUGACAAAAGAAUUUACAUUUAGAAGUCUAAAUUUUUUAGCAAUUUCUAUUUAAAAAGUUGGGGGAUUGAAUCAUGUGACUUUCAAGCACCUUCUAAUUCAUACUUUUAUGCAAUUCUGAGAUCUGGAGGAUUUUUUGUCAAGUGGAGAGUGCCGUGCAGUGUUCUUGCCUCCAGUUUACUUGAGAUAGGGCGUUUAGUCCCACUUUGCGGUUAUUUCCGGUCCUACCCUGAAUGCAUAGGUGGCACUCCUAAGCCCCUGGUACACUUAAGCUUUGCUGUUGAUGCCUCAGAUUUCUGUCCCUUGACCUCACAAAGGGCCUCACAAAGCACCGGCAGAGGUCUCACCACAGAGCUUGUGAGCAGAGCCUAUGGUCCGUCAGAGCCUUUGUUAAUGUAAAUUGACUGAAUAAAAUUAUGUCCUUCUUAGCAGGAGCUGAUAAACUGACGAUGGGCUUGGAAAUGUACAAAACAUUUUCUAUAGACGGGAUGAGCUGAAAGCAGGGAAGAGUGUGUUCACUAGACAGGAGGAACAUGGCUAUUUGGAGUGAAAGGUCAGUCCACAGCAUCAUAAUAAACAAUUACUACCGAUGUGGAUAUUCACGACAAAGUAAUGACACUACACUUAAUAAACAGCACCAAAAAAUAGACAUAGCAUGGACAAAAGUUCCCUGAUAUAAAUGGCUGCCUAGACUUAAUAUCCUUGUGGAUCCUUGGGAGGUAUCCUUUGAGACCAAACUGAGACUUGUCAGAGAAUGUUGCCCUCUGCCUGUUGAACUACCAUACUGCAAGAAGUAAUGAGCCUUAAGUACAGAUGAACCUUGUGUAAUGUCUUAAAGGGGAACCAUAGUUUACAUGCAAUCUUGUGUGGUCUUUGUGCUAUGAGAAGUGCUUAUUUCGCCUUUUUCAAUAUUUCUGCUUGACUUUGCCAUUUGGAACAAGGAAAACAAAAAAAUUAAAACCUCUGAUCUUUCACUGCUUUUGUACCUUCUGAUUCUGCAGUUAAGGGUAAGGAUGCUCAAAAGCCCAUGGGGAGUUUAUAUGCGUUCAGAACGUUGUACCUGUUUUAGUGUGAUGAGCUUUUAAAACACUUUGUUAAAACAUCAAUUUUUGUAAUUGUAUAGAUACUCAGCUCAUUUUGAAUGCUGCUGGUGGCAUACCUAAAUUUUCAUAUCGCAAAAUGUAUUCUUGUGUGCUGCUUUUCCUACCUUGAGAUGCUGUUUCACACAAUGAAGAUUGUUUUCUUUUUACUGACUCAUUUCAGAGAAAGAAUUGAGCUGGUUUUUUCCCCCAAGUAUCACGAAACAAUUCUUUUUUUUGCUUUUUUCCUCCAAUAAAUGACAGCAUUAUGAUCUUUAGU